CUUCGAAGAAUAGGACACAGGUGCUUCAUGGCUGUGGUCAACUCGUGUCGUGAGAUGUUGGGUUAAGUCCCGCAACGAGCGCAACCCUCGCCAUUAGUUGCCAUCAUUUAGUUGGGAACUCUAAUGGGACUGCCGGUGCUAAGCCGGAGGAAGGUGGGGAUGACGUCAAGUCCUCAUGGCCCUUACAGGGUGGGCUACACACGUGCUACAAUGGCGACUACAGAGGGUUAAUCCUUAAAAGUCGUCUCAGUUUGGAUUGUCCUCUGCAACUCGAGGGCAUGAAGUUGGAAUCGCUAGUAAUCGCGGAUCACCAUGCCGCGGUGAAUACGUUCCCGGGCCUUGUACACACCGCCCGUCACACCAUGGGAGUUGGUUCUACCCGAAGGCGGUGCGCUAACCAGCAAUGGAGGCAGCCGAC
Molecule: ribosomal RNA, 418 nt
Filed under: Brevundimonas diminuta
Lineage: Bacteria; Pseudomonadati; Pseudomonadota; Alphaproteobacteria; Caulobacterales; Caulobacteraceae
Description: bacterial SSU rRNA
Rfam family: Bacterial small subunit ribosomal RNA
Source: RNAcentral